CAGGAGUUAAUAUUGACCACCUCUGGGCUACCUAUUAAAGUUUCCUCACUCCUAAGCAGGAGGAAGUUAGCCAAGAUGUGUUGGUACUAGAACAAUUCUACCUCUGGUUCCCAGUGCAGAGAACUACUUGCUUCAUUCCUGUCAGCAUGGAGAAAGUGCAAAUGUUCAAAAAUGAACCAGUGUCUUAUGGUCACCAGAAAAGUAUGUAGGAAGCUUACCUGCCUAUCACCAGAUGACCAUCAGGAAAAAGGAGAUCUGCCCUAUACUUCAUAAAUAAAAUAGAAAC
RNAcentral lists this long non-coding RNA (286 nucleotides) under Mus spicilegus (steppe mouse). Its description in RNAcentral is "lncRNA (ENSMSIG00000004394.1)". Lineage: Eukaryota; Metazoa; Chordata; Mammalia; Rodentia; Muridae. The record is from RNAcentral.